This 212-nucleotide long non-coding RNA is filed under the name Elaeis guineensis (African oil palm). Its description in RNAcentral is "long non-coding RNA (EGUI_LNC057549)". Lineage: Eukaryota; Viridiplantae; Streptophyta; Magnoliopsida; Arecales; Arecaceae. The record is from RNAcentral.
AUGGAUAUCCACUCAGGAUCAGUCUAGAACAGCCCUCUUAAGAUUGCAUUUUCUUCUCCAAAAAAAUUUAGCCUACGAAACUAAACGAAAUCUGAAUCAUGAUCAACUCUUUGAUCUCUUUCCUUGAUCUUCUUCUUCUCUUCUUCUCUUGCCUUUCUUUUUUUGAAUAUGCUGCUACCAAACACUAGGAACCAACACUCAAAAGGGACGCC